RNAcentral lists this ribosomal RNA (246 nucleotides) under uncultured bacterium. RNAcentral's name for it is "partial 16S ribosomal RNA". It matches the Rfam family "Bacterial small subunit ribosomal RNA", at positions 524 to 769 of the family's 1533-position model. The record is from RNAcentral.
UACGUAGGGGGCGAGCGUUGUUCGGAUUUACUGGGCGUAAAGAGCGCGUAGGCGGCCGGAUAAGUCCGUUGUGAAAUCCCCCGGCUCAACCGGGGACCCGCUUCGGAAACUGUCCGGCUUGAGUCGCGGAGAGGAGAGCGGAAUUCCCAGUGUAGCGGUGAAAUGCGUAGAUAUUGGGAGGAACACCGGUGGCGAAGGCGGCUCUCUGGACGCGUACUGACGCUGAGGCGCGAAAGCUAGGGGAGC